GCCGGUUACUAAUCCUGUUAUUGGCUUUAGCUUUGAGCUUGCUGUUACAGAGAGCUGAGAAGAGUCCACAAUGAUGGAGAGUGAGUCGAGUUCAAAUCCUAAAGCGCCAUUAUUGACCGGAAAUGAGAGAAAGCGAAGUGGGAGACUGAGUCGAGGCAACUCGGUACGCACACUCAGAGACCAUUUUUUCUCCAGAUUGCCUGACAAGGUUCGAUCUGGAGUGGAUGUCGAUUCUCCCUUUCGCAUUGACGUUUCUAAAACCAAAGGAUUGACUAAAGAUGAGAAGAAAUACUACGAAAGACAAUUUGCUACAUUAGAAUCGUUUGAGGAAGUUGAUUCUUUGGAAUCGGGUGACACAAUCCAUGAAGAGGACGAUGACGAACAGCUGCAAGCUGAAAGGGCCAUGAGAAUCUCUAAUUAUGCAAAUAUUCUGCUCCUGGCAUUUAAGAUCUAUGCUACAAUAAAGAGUGGAUCAAUAGCCAUUGCUGCAUCAACCUUAGAUUCUUUACUAGAUCUCAUGGCGGGUGGCAUACUCUGGUUCACUCACCUGUAUAUGAAAAACAUAAAUAUCUAUAAAUAUCCUAUUGGAAAAUUGAGGGUGCAGCCUGUGGGCAUAAUCAUCUUUGCUGCUGUCAUGGCUACACUUGGGUUUCAAAUAUUGCUCGAGGCUGUUGAACAACUAAUUAAAGAUAAGGCUCCUGAUAAGUUGUCCUCAGAUCAAUUGGUGUGGAUGUACACAAUAAUGCUUACGGCCACAGUGGUGAAGCUGGCACUCUGGAUUUACUGUAGAAGUUCAGGAAACAAGAUUGUUCGUGCCUAUGCAAAGGAUCACUACUUUGAUGUGAUAACAAAUGUAGUAGGAUUAGCUGCAGCUGUUCUUGGUGAUAAGUUCUACUGGUGGAUAGACCCUGCUGGCGCUAUUUUACUUGCCAUUUACACGAUUACAGUUUGGUCUGGAACUGUUAUGGAAAAUGCAGUUUCCCUUGUUGGACAAUCAGCCUCUCCUGAAGUCCUGCAAAAGUUGACGUAUCUUGUCAUAAGACAUCCUCAAGUUAAGCGCAUUGACACUGUCCGUGCUUACACCUUCGGUGUUCUUUACUUUGUAGAGGUUGAUAUUGAACUACCGGAAGAUUUGCCUCUAAAAGAAGCACACACCAUCGGAGAAACUCUGCAGAACAAAAUUGAGAAACUUCCAGAAGUUGAGCGGGCAUUUGUUCAUCUGGACUUUGAGUGUGAACACAAACCAGAGCACUCUGUUCUCAGCAGGCUGCCCAAUAGUUCAGAUUAGUAUUACAUAAAUGUUUAUUUAUAUUUUUUGAGGAGUUUUGUGGAAUAGAAAUAGAGAAUUUCUCAUGAAGAAAAGUCUUGUACAAUGCAGAUGAUGAGUCAAAUAGCUGGUCAUGUACCUUUCUCCUUGGAGGUUCAAACGGAGGCCCCUUUAUUUCCAUUAAUAGCAUUUAACCAGUCAAGAGUGAUAGGACAUCACACCUUGGUUAAAAUCAUAGUCGCUUUAUCAAAUCACGCUAACCCACAUACCACAUACUUUAUACACAAUCAAAUCAAUGUAUGAUACAGAAGGGGCGUAGAGACUUAUGCCGAUUGGGUCACACUCAUGCGUAUUGGCUCACUUCUCUUAAAUUUAUAGAUAGAAAAUACACGAGUUAGUAAUA
RNAcentral lists this unclassified non-coding RNA (1670 nucleotides) under Hevea brasiliensis (rubber tree). The record is from RNAcentral. Lineage: Eukaryota; Viridiplantae; Streptophyta; Magnoliopsida; Malpighiales; Euphorbiaceae.